This is an RNA transcript of Panicum virgatum (switchgrass), 2274 nucleotides long. It is a transcript of the gene named beta-glucosidase 26-like, with no coding region annotated. The transcript has 5 exons. The record is from RefSeq and is a predicted model, not a curated record. Lineage: Eukaryota; Viridiplantae; Streptophyta; Magnoliopsida; Poales; Poaceae.
CGCCGCCGCCUCCCCUCCCCUUCUCCCUCUCCGCUCGCCUCCGUUGCCCCUCCCCGGCGGUGCUCCUCCUGCUCUCCGCCGCCGUCGCCCGCUCCCAGUCGGAGGGAGAGGAGGUGGUCUUGGCGAGAUCCGCGACAGCCUGGCAGUCCGGCAGCCGCGCGGCCCCUCACCGCGGCCACCGCCGUGCUCUACAUCCGCCUCUACAGCCCCUGCGUUCGUGCGUCCCUCCGCGCGGUGCUCGCGCCCAAGCGUUGCCCACGCAUCGAAGCCGGCUUCAGCGGUGUCGAGGAGGUCGAGGAGCCGCUCAUGUCUUGGAUCUACCUACAGUCCUAGCUGGCCGUCGUCGGGCCAGGCGCCGCCUUCCUGUGGGAGCUAUCCCUCGGCUCCGCACAGAUCCGUGAGUGGCCGUCCCUCCCGUCCCUGCGCCGUUCCCUGUAGCCACCGCCGCCGCCUCCUGGUGGCCGCUGCUCGAGGACCCGCGCAUCCUCGACUCCCAUUUCAUGAUAGAAGACAUCCGCCUGUCGCGCCUCAAGAGGCUUGCCAUGCUCGGUGCUGGGAGGAGCGAGGCGGCGACCCGUGCCUAGCUUGCGGGAGUCGCGGCGGCUGGCGCGGGGGAGCGGUGGCAGGCGUGCAGGAGCUGCGGCGUCCGGCGCGGGAAGCUCCAAGGGGUGCGUCGCAAGGUUGAAGGGAACUGGAAGCCGGCUCCAAGAUCCGUGGCGUGUGGCCAAUAUCCAUGGCGGCGGCGGCGGCAGUGCAGAUCGAGCUGCAGCACAGCGAGCCAGGAACUCCCACCGCGGCUGGUUCCUUGACCCCAUUAUAAAUGGACGGUACCCAUACUCGAUGCAAGAGAUUGUCAAGGAUAGGCUGCCAUUGUUCAGCGAUGAAGAGUCCAGGAUGGUGAAAUGCUCCAUAGACUACGUUGGCAUCAACCACUACACUUCUUACUAUAUGAAGGACCCUGGGACAAGGAACCUGAUGCCAGUCAGCUACCAGGAUGAUGGGCAUGUUGGUUUUGUUUAUGAAAGAAACGGUGUUCCUAUUGCCGCUCAUGCAAACUCCUACUGGUUGUACAUUGUACCGUGGGGAAUCAACAAGGCUUCUCUAAAAAUUUUCCUUUAUUUGGUUUCGGUUACUAUUUCAUUUCAUCAUGUCUCAUUUCAUAUUGUUCCCAAUAAUUCAUUAGAGUCAAUGCAUGUGGUUUUUGAAUUCAGGUUGUAAAGGUUGACUAAAUCUGAGUUUUUACAAGGAAAGUUACAUGACAAUGUUCUUAAAUAUUGUGGCAAAGUAGAGUUGCAAACUGCAACCGAAGUCUGAGGAAAUUAAGUUGGGAUGAUUCAUUUGCUUCCAAAAGUUCUUUCAGAUGGCAACCUAGUGGUUCCUACUUUUGGAUGGACUAUUCAUGCCUGCUUUAACACUCAGUCAGGUUUGUCUUACAGUUUUUUGUUCCUUCAUUUUACGGCUACUUGAAAGCACUUCUUUCUACUUCCAUUCAAUUUCAAUCAUUCCAAAUCCUGCAAAAUCGUGACAAACAACACUGGGCAACUGCAUGGUUGAUUUGGUUUUUAAUUUUGCUUCAAAUUUUAUAUACAUAGUGUCUUUAGUCAGCCUUACUGGACCAACCUUUCUUUAGUAGCAUGUUUUAACAAGCAAAACUGAAGAUACAUGUGGUUGUUGGAUACAAAAAUAUAAGUGUAUUAUUUUAUUAAUAUUAUAAGAAUACUGCUACUCUUUUUAAAAUUAAGAACCCGUGAUCAGGCAUGUUCAUGGAAAAAAAUAUGAACCAUUGAAACAAAUUCAUUAGUUUAAGUAACCUUUAAUUAACCCCUAAACAAAUUUGUUGGUUUAAAUAACAUAUCAAAUGCAUCUCUAACUUGCUCUUUGAUUAUUAGAUGAUUAAUAUUAAAGCAGGGUAAAAUGUCACAACGGAAGGUGAAGGCUCUUUGUGAAGAUUCGCUCUGUUGAUGGACAAUGAAGCUACCUCUUGCUGCUAUUUAAGAACAAAUCUAUGAAACUGUUAUAAUUUAGUACUUCUAUCAUUAAUGUUUGUAACUAGGUAAAUUGCGCUCUAUGCCAUGCCCACAUGAAAAUAUGAAGUAAAAUGGUUGAUGCGUUAAUAGAUACGUAUGUGUAUAGAGCAGAAGAGAAGUACGCUGGAGGGCGUAGAAUGAGCUGAUUGUUGAAUGUAUCGCCAAGUCCUCCUUGACAGGGGCGGGCCCACUAUGUAUCAAGAGUAUUCAGCUGAAUACCCAUUAUUUUUAGAAAAAAAUCUAUAUA